UGCACAACAGUUAUGCUAUCCUUACAGGUAAUCCCCUUCUGUUACUGUUUAGACAAUAAUUCCGCUCCUCUCUCAAGAUUUACUUACGGUCAUGUGCCCCGAAAUGCUCAGAUGGGCACAACCAUCACCAAGGGUGGGAUGGGAGAGCAGAGGGGAAAUAAAAUAUGAAGCAUCAGUUAAAAAUAAUAAUACUAAUAAUUUGAAAAAUGUUUAAUGAAGACAUAACUUUGUAGAAAAAGGCACACCUAAAGAAGGUUAUUCAAGACAAAAUUAAGAAUAUAUUUGCUAAUAUAUGCUUUGAAUUAAUUUUUGAUGUUUCUUAUGUAUAUAUUUAAAAAGCAAACGUAUGAAUUUUAAUCAUUUUUUAUUCAUAGGAAAUGUAUAGGGGUUCAUAAAUGUUGUCAGUAUACUUCUCUGACCUUAUAUAUUCAGUUUUGUCCCCUUGUUUACAAUCUGACUGAGCUGUAAAGGUGUAACCAUUAACCAAUCAAAGUGAACAUUAAAAGGUCAGUGCAUUACAUAUUUUAGCUGCUUCCCAAAAAAAUGGGUAAGACAUUCAAAUUUUGGCGUAUUUUUGCAAGUCCAAACUUGUAAAAUAAAUCUGUGAUUACAUAAAUGAGACUCUGGCUCCCUGUAAAAUUUGUAAAAAACAUGAGAAGGAAGUUCAAUUCCCUGUCUUUCCCUUUUUAUUAUAUUUUAAAGUCAGUCUCCAAAAUUCCAGUAAGUUGAUAUAGGAAGUACUCCAGUUAUCAAUGUCAUAACAACCUUAUAAAUAUUUUCCAGGCUGCAAGUUUCAAAAUAAGAACUUCCUUCCUAUUUACAAAUUAGCACAUGGACAUACUUUGGAAUUGUUUGUGGGUAUCAAAUAACUUUUUAUUUUUGCAAAUAUUUGUAUCAAUAACUUCUUUCCUGCCUCAGCCUCCCAAAGUAACUGGAAUUACAGGUGCCCACCACCAAAACCAAAGAGUGUUUAUUUAUUUUUUAUUUUUUUUUAUGUAGAGACAGGGUUUCUACAUGUUGACCAGGCUGGUCUCAAACUCCUGACCUCAGGUGAUCCCACCUUUCUCGGUCUCCCAAAGUGCUAGGAUUACAAGCAUGAGCCACCCCACCCAGCCAGUGUCAAUAACUUCUAUCAUGACAAUUAUCCAUUUUGGCCAUCAGUUAUUUGUAAAUAAGUGAUAAGACAUUUUGCCCUCAUAUCUGUUUGUGAUCAAAGGAAAACCAGUACCAAAGAAUAUUUAUUUUCUGCAUGAUCAAUGUGAUUGGAACAUAUAUAGUGUCUAUAUUCUUUGUUAUUACUGUGAAAAAUAAUAAGCAAAUAAUUUGUGUUUUAAAUCAUUUGUAAAAAUUUUUUUUGUUGCCAAUAUAUUUUAACCAUUCUGAAGAGAAGGCUAAAAAAGAUUUUUGCGUUUUUUUUUGAGAUUGAGUCUCGCUCUGUCACCCAGGAUGGAGUGCAGUGGCGCGAUCUUGGAUCACUGCAAGCUCUGCCUCCCGGGUUCACGCCAUUCUCCUGCCUCAGCCUCCCGAGUAGCUGGGACUACAGGUGCCCGCUGCCACGCUAAUUUUUUUAUAUUUUUAGUAGAGGCGGGGUUUCACUGUGUUAGCCAGGAUGGUCUCGAUCUCCUGACCUCAUGAUCCACCCUCCUUGGCCUCCCAAAGCGCUGGGCUUACAGGAAUUAGCCACCGUGCCCGGCCAGGUUUUUGCCUUUGUAAGAACGAAUGUAAGGAAUAAAAUUAGAUGGCUAAAAAUGGGGGAUUGGGGAGGGGAAGACUGGCCUAUUGAUUAGGAGAAGGCCAGGAGUAAAGUCUGCCAGUAACAUUAAAGAUAUGAAACCAUAACCUUUGUUAUACAAUUUUAUCCAUUGCAUAACAGCAAUGGAUGCUGUUUCUGUGCUGAAUGGAAGGUGAGGUCAUAGCAAGAAAGCUGCCUACAAGGCCUCAUUUACAGGGAAGUUUUGAGAAGCUGGAGAAAAUCUGAGAAAAAGCAUAUAUGAUGGUUGGAAUUAAACCAUCUACAGAAAGUAUGUUCUAAUGUGUUAGGAUAAGCACCUAAUUAAGCACCAGCAGGCUGAAGCAAGCAGAGGCAUCAUUGGAGCUAUGUGUUCACACCGUGCUGUGACUGAGAAGAAGUUGAAGGCGGUAUCUCUUCAGAAGUUUCAGGCAUCCGGGCAUUUGAGAGGCCAAGAAGUCUGUGGCUGCUAAAAGCAAAAGGGCCAGCAGAUUUAAAUAAAUAAAUAAAUAAAUAAAAAUAAAAAACGUUGAUUUUUAAAAUCUAGAAAAUGUCACUGCGAGCGCAAGGUAAAUUGUCACUGCAAAGAUAAAAGGCACCCUCAUUUCCUAAGCUUCCUGUUCUCCACAUACAAUUUAUUUUUUAAGAUUUCUGGGCAAAAGUAAUUACUGCUUGAUCUGCAUUGAAAACUAUUUUAAUUGCUAUAUUUCAGUAUAGCAUGUGACAUGUGGAACAUUGCUGCUAUCACUGGGCGAAUGUCAGAGUCCGUAGAUGUGUGAUUUGUUGCAAGUUACUUCUAGCAAAGGCUGAACUGAAGUUUCUUUCUUCUCUGACCUUGAUUAUGAUAAUUGAAUGAGAAUAAAUCUCUGGAAGAGAAAAGAAAAGAAAGCCGCUCUGAGCGUACCCACCUUUCUACUCUGGAGAGAAGCUCUUUUGACACAGAUCCUGCCCCGUUUAAUAGACUCCAGCUGCUGGCACUGCCUUCUGAGUUCUUUCACUUCCGAAUUCUUAUCGUCCUGCAGCCCCACCACAGUCAAUGACUAAGUUCCUCUGGACUUUCACAUGGAUCGUAAUAGACAACUUCAUCCUGUUUUUCUAAAAAGGUAUUAAUGAUUGUUUAAAACAUAUUUUAUUAUUUGUAAAAAUACAUUGAAUUUUUUUAAAUGUAAGGAAAAUAAAGAUCACUUGUAAUCCCACCACUGAGAAUCACUAUUAACAUAUAAAAAAUCUGUGUAUAAAUGUAAUAUACAUAUACACAUGUGUAUAUAUACAUGACUAUACACAUGUAUGUAAGUAGCAUGUGUGUAUAUACAUGUAAGUAGUAUAUGCAUGUAUAUAUACCUGUAUAGACAUAUGUAUAUAUACACAUGCACACACACACACAUACUACUUACAUAGCUACACGUAUCAAUGGAGUUCUAAAAGAACACUUUCCAUGGGAUGGAAAUAAAUUUUUAGGCCAGGUGCGGUGGCUCACGCCUGUAAUCCCAG
Molecule: long non-coding RNA, 3220 nt
Filed under: Homo sapiens (human)
Lineage: Eukaryota; Metazoa; Chordata; Mammalia; Primates; Hominidae
Description: HSALNT0217296
Source: RNAcentral